This 70-nucleotide transfer RNA is filed under the name Proscyllium habereri (graceful catshark). RNAcentral's name for it is "tRNA-Asp". It matches the Rfam family "tRNA". Rfam says of the family: Transfer RNA (tRNA) molecules are approximately 80 nucleotides in length. Their secondary structure includes four short double-helical elements and three loops (D, anti-codon, and T loops). Further hydrogen bonds mediate the characteristic L-shaped molecular structure. tRNAs have two regions of fundamental functional importance: the anti-codon, which is responsible for specific mRNA codon recognition, and the 3' end, to which the tRNAs corresponding amino acid is attached (by aminoacyl-tRNA synthetases). tRNAs cope with the degeneracy of the genetic code in two manners: having more than one tRNA (with a specific anti-codon) for a particular amino acid; and 'wobble' base-pairing, i.e. permitting non-standard base-pairing at the 3rd anti-codon position. Lineage: Eukaryota; Metazoa; Chordata; Chondrichthyes; Carcharhiniformes; Proscylliidae. The record is from RNAcentral.
AAGAUUCUAGUAAAAUAUAUUACACUGCUUUGUCAGGGCAGAAUUGCGAGUUUAAACCUCGCGUAUCUUA